RNAcentral lists this ribosomal RNA (481 nucleotides) under uncultured bacterium. RNAcentral's name for it is "partial 16S ribosomal RNA". It matches the Rfam family "Bacterial small subunit ribosomal RNA", at positions 30 to 504 of the family's 1533-position model. The record is from RNAcentral.
AUUGAACGCUGGCGGAAUGCUUUACACAUGCAAGUCGAGCGGCAGCGCGGCCUUCGGGCUGGCGGCGAGCGGCGAACGGGUGAGUAAUGCAUCGGAACAUGCCCAGUCGUGGGGGAUAACACUUCGAAAGAAGUGCUAAUACCGCAUACGUCCUGAGGGGGAAAGCGGGGGAUCGCAAGACCUCGCGCGAUUGGAGUGGCCGAUGUCAGAUUAGCUAGUUGGUGGGGUAAAGGCCUACCAAGGCGACGAUCUGUAGCUGGUCUGAGAGGAUGAUCAGCCACACUGGGACUGAGACACGGCCCAGACUCCUACGGGAGGCAGCAGUGGGGAAUUUUGGACAAUGGGGGCAACCCUGAUCCAGCCAUUCCGCGUGAGUGAAGAAGGCCUUCGGGUUGUAAAGCUCUUUCGGCAGGAACGAAACGGUGGGCUCUAACAUAGUCCGCUAAUGACGGUACCUGAAGAAGAAGCACCGGCUAACUAC